Long non-coding RNA from Symphalangus syndactylus (siamang), 1171 nucleotides. RefSeq lists it as uncharacterized. Lineage: Eukaryota; Metazoa; Chordata; Mammalia; Primates; Hylobatidae. The record is from RefSeq and is a predicted model, not a curated record.
GAGAGAGAAAAGCUUGGUUCCAAACCAGGAUAUAUGAAUGGGACCCCUGCUUUCAACGCCCUAGCAGAAUGACUGGAACCACUGUGUUGGCUUUCACCUGUUUGUACCUUGAGUCAAUAUAGAGAAGAAGGGAAGUGAGAUGACAGCACCUAGAGGUCUACCAAGUUGUCACUCUAAAUUUUGCAAGUGACAAAGCUGCCUAUGGUGGCUGUGAAGUCUGACAGGCUCUUAGAGAAAGGAUGAGGAAUGUAUUGUUCUUGGGCUGUAUUGCAAAAACCAAAAGAACUAUCAGGCAAGAAAAAAAAAUGAACUACAGACAUGUUCCUGGACCAUGCUUGCUGUCUCACCCUCAUUCUAAAUGGUGCUUGCUGAUGAGAGAUGAAAAAGAGAAAGGACAGAGAUUUGACCCAACCAAUAGUAUUGGUCCUGCCUGCUUUGUACAGAUACCCAGGCACUUCUGAAAACCUCCUGAUGGCUUGGACAAAAAUCUACCUGCAGAACAGACACUUUACCCAAGAACACAUAUGAAGUGCCAAUAAACACAUGAGGAGAUGCUCAACAUCAUUAGUCCUGGGGAAAUGCAAAUUGAAACCUCGGUGUGCUAUCCCUAUACAUCCACUGGAAUGGCUAAAAUUAGAAAGACAGGCAAUAUCAAGUAUUGGAGAAGAUUUAGAGCAACUGGAAGUCUUAUACAUUACCAAGGAGAGAGUAAAAGUGGGAGUACAAAAUGGCGCAGCCACAUUAGAAAACAGUUUGACAGUUUCUUAAAACAUUAAGCAUACACCUAUCCCACAACCAGAUGUUCUAUACUUAAGUCUUUAUGCCAAAAAACCACAUCACAACACAAAGACCUGCAUGUGGUUGUUAUUACAGCUUUAUUUAUAACAGCCCAAACUGGAAACAACACAAAUAUGCAUGAAAUGUGAAUGAAUAAACAAAUUGUGAUAGAGCCAUGCAAUGGCUUACUAUUCAGCACUAAAAAGGAACCAACUACCACUGUGUGCAACUACAUGGAUGACUUUCAAAACCAUCAUGCUAAGUGAUGAAGCCAGACACAAAAGAUGACAUCCUGCAUGAUUCCAUUUAUAUGAUAUGCUAGAAAAGGCAAACCUAUGAUGACCAAAAAUCAGAUCAGUAGCUGUAGGGGGAGAGAAUUAACUGUAAAGGGGCA